This 299-nucleotide unclassified non-coding RNA is filed under the name Hevea brasiliensis (rubber tree). Lineage: Eukaryota; Viridiplantae; Streptophyta; Magnoliopsida; Malpighiales; Euphorbiaceae. The record is from RNAcentral.
GAGAGAGAGAGAGAGAGAGAAUUAUUUAUUUAUAUUUCAAUAAAUUGUUUGCUUUUAUUGCAUGUUUAACAAAUUUCGCUUUUUGAUUUUUGCUCAGAAAAAGAAAAGCAAGCUAACCAAAAGAAGCCUCAGUUAUUAAGGCAACUCACAUCAUUGACCAACAUUUAUACUGUGUCUAUAACCAAAUAAAACCGAGACCAAUAAUGGUUCUAAACUGGGACUUAAAGAAAAAUCAUUGGCGGCAAACAAUAGCAAUGAAUCCUAAAAUGCACUAACCUGAUAAACAAUAUCAGGCCUAU